AUCACCUGGGGAUCUUAUUAAAAUGCAGAUUCUGAUUUAGUAUGUCUGGGAUGGGGCCUGAGAUUCUGCAUUUCUAACAAGCCCCCAGGUGCUGCUGCU
Molecule: microRNA precursor, 99 nt
Organism: Loxodonta africana (African savanna elephant)
Lineage: Eukaryota; Metazoa; Chordata; Mammalia; Proboscidea; Elephantidae
Source: Ensembl